UCUAUGGCUUUUUUGAAAGCCACCCAAUAAGAAUUGGUAUCAUUGG
Molecule: non-coding RNA, 46 nt
Organism: Glossina austeni
Lineage: Eukaryota; Metazoa; Arthropoda; Insecta; Diptera; Glossinidae
Source: Rfam